This 77-nucleotide small RNA is filed under the name Klebsiella pneumoniae. RNAcentral's name for it is "partial RtT sRNA". It matches the Rfam family "RtT RNA", at positions 1 to 76 of the family's 130-position model. Rfam says of the family: This family represents a bacterial cis-regulatory element known as RtT RNA. The exact function of RtT is unknown although it is thought that it may be involved in changing the cellular response in relation to amino acid starvation. Lineage: Bacteria; Pseudomonadati; Pseudomonadota; Gammaproteobacteria; Enterobacterales; Enterobacteriaceae. The record is from RNAcentral.
UAUUCUGCCCCAUGGGGAAGGAUGAGAAGCUUCGACUAAGGUUCGACUCGAGCGCCAGCGAGAGAACGUUGCCACAG